GAUGAACGCUGGCGGCGUGCCUAAUACACGCAAGUCGAGCGAACGGACGAGAAGCUUGCUUCUCUGAUGUUAGCGGCGGACGGGUGAGUAACACGCGGAUAACUUACCUAUAAGACUGGGAUAACUUCGGGAAACCGGAGCUAAUACCGGAUAAUAUUUUGAACCGCAUGGUUCAAAAGUGAAAGACGGUCUUGCUGUCACUUAUAGAUGGAUCCGCGCUGCAUUAGCUAGUUGGUAAGGUAACGGCUUACCAAGGCAACGAUGCAUAGCCGACCUGAGAGGGUGAUCGGCCACACUGGAACUGAGACACGGUCCAGACUCCUACGGGAGGCAGCAGUAGGGAAUCUUUCGCAAUGGGCGAAAGCCUGACGGAGCAACGCCGCGUGAGUGAUGAAGGUCUUCGGAUCGUAAAACUCUGUUAUUAGGGAAGAACAUAUGUGUAAGUAACUGUGCACAUCUUGACGGUACCUAAUCAGAAAGCCACGGCUAACUACGUGCCAGCAGCCGCGGUAAUACGUAGGUGGCAAGCGUUAUCCGGAAUUAUUGGGCGUAAAGCGCGCGUAGGCGGUUUUUUAAGUCUGAUGUGAAAGCCCACGGCUCAACCGUGGAGGGUCAUUGGAAACUGGAAAACUUGAGUGCAGAAGAGGAAAGUGGAAUUCCAUGUGUAGCGGUGAAAUGCGCAGAGAUAUGGAGGAACACCAGUGGCGAAGGCGACUUUCUGGUCUGUAACUGACGCUGAUGUGCGAAAGCGUGGGGAUCAAACAGGAUUAGAUACCCUGGUAGUCCACGCCGUAAACGAUGAGUGCUAAGUGUUAGGGGGUUUCCGCCCCUUAGUGCUGCAGCUAACGCAUUAAGCACUCCGCCUGGGGAGUACGACCGCACGGUUGAAACUCAAAGGAAUUGACGGGGACCCGCACAAGCGGUGGAGCAUGUGGUUUAAUUCGAAGCAACGCGAAGAACCUUACCAAAUCUUGACAUCCUUUGACAACUCUAGAGAUAGAGCCUUCCCCUUCGGGGGACAAAGUGACAGGUGGUGCAUGGUUGUCGUCAGCUCGUGUCGUGAGAUGUUGGGUUAAGUCCCGCAACGAGCGCAACCCUUAAGCUUAGUUGCCAUCAUUAAGUUGGGCACUCUAAGUUGACUGCCGGUGACAAACCGGAGGAAGGUGGGGAUGACGUCAAAUCAUCAUGCCCCUUAUGAUUUGGGCUACACACGUGCUACAAUGGACAAUACAAAGGGCAGCGAAACCGCGAGGUCAAGCAAAUCCCAUAAAGUUGUUCUCAGUUCGGAUUGUAGUCUGCAACUCGACUACAUGAAGCUGGAAUCGCUAGUAAUCGUAGAUCAGCAUGCUACGGUGAAUACGUUCCCGGGUCU
Molecule: ribosomal RNA, 1372 nt
Filed under: uncultured bacterium
Lineage: Bacteria
Description: bacterial SSU rRNA
Rfam family: Bacterial small subunit ribosomal RNA
Source: RNAcentral